Molecule: ribosomal RNA, 491 nt
Filed under: uncultured bacterium
Lineage: Bacteria
Description: partial 16S ribosomal RNA
Rfam family: Bacterial small subunit ribosomal RNA
Source: RNAcentral
GAUGAACGCUAGCUACAGGCUUAACACAUGCAAGUCGAGGGGAAACGACAUCGAAAGCUUGCUUUUGAUGGGCGUCGACCGGCGCACGGGUGAGUAACGCGUAUCCAACCUGCCCAUCACUUGGGAAUAACCUUGCGAAAGUAAGACUAAUACCCAAUGAUAUCCCACGAAGGCAUCGGAAUGGGAUUAAAGAUUUAUCGGUGAUGGAUGGGGAUGCGUCUGAUUAGCUUGUUGGCGGGGUAACGGCCCACCAAGGCAACGAUCAGUAGGGGUUCUGAGAGGAAGGUCCCCCACAUUGGAACUGAGACACGGUCCAAACUCCUACGGGAGGCAGCAGUGAGGAAUAUUGGUCAAUGGGCGAGAGCCUGAACCAGCCAAGUAGCGUGCAGGAAGACGGCCCUAUGGGUUGUAAACUGCUUUUAUAAGGGAAUAAAGUGGGUCACGUGUGACUUUUUGCAUGUACCUUAUGAAUAAGGACCGGCUAAUUCCGU